AGAGUUUGAUCCUGGCUCAGGACGAACGCUGGCGGCGUGCUUAACACAUGCAAGUCGAACGGAAAGGCCCUUCGGGGUACUCGAGUGGCGAACGGGUGAGUAACACGUGGGUGAUCUGCCCUGCACUUUGGGAUAAGCCUGGGAAACUGGGUCUAAUACCGAAUAUGACCAUGCACUUCCUGGUGUGUGGUGGAAAGCUUUUGCGGUGUGGGAUGGGCCCGCGGCCUAUCAGCUUGUUGGUGGGGUAAUGGCCUACCAAGGCGACGACGGGUAGCCGGCCUGAGAGGGUGACCGGCCACACUGGGACUGAGAUACGGCCCAGACUCCUACGGGAGGCAGCAGUGGGGAAUAUUGCACAAUGGGCGCAAGCCUGAUGCAGCGACGCCGCGUGAGGGAUGACGGCCUUCGGGUUGUAAACCUCUUUCAGCACAGACGAAGCGCAAGUGACGGUAUAUGCAGAAGAAGGACCGGCCAACUACGUGCCAGCAGCCGCGGUAAUACGUAGGGUCCGAGCGUUGUCCGGAAUUACUGGGCGUAAAGAGCUCGUAGGUGGUUUGUCGCGUUGUUCGUGAAAACUCACAGCUUAACUGUGGGCGUGCGGGCGAUACGGGCAGACUUGAGUACUGCAGGGGAGACUGGAAUUCCUGGUGUAGCGGUGGAAUGCGCAGAUAUCGGGAGGAACACCGGUGGCGAAGGCGGGUCUCUGGGCAGUAACUGACGCUGAGGAGCGAAAGCGUGGGGAGCGAACAGGAUUAGAUACCCUGGUAGUCC
This 771-nucleotide ribosomal RNA is filed under the name uncultured bacterium. RNAcentral describes it as "bacterial SSU rRNA". It matches the Rfam family "Bacterial small subunit ribosomal RNA", at positions 8 to 796 of the family's 1533-position model. The record is from RNAcentral.